Oryza glumipatula is the source of this 196-nucleotide non-coding RNA. The record is from Rfam. NCBI's taxonomy places the organism in Eukaryota, Viridiplantae, Streptophyta, Magnoliopsida, Poales, Poaceae.
AGAAAGACCACUGUUUUACCCUCUUUAUAUCCAACGUUUGAUCGUCCGUCUUAUUUAAAAAUAAUUAUGAUUAAUAUUUUUAUUGUUAUUAGAAUGAUAAAACACGAAUAAUACUUUAUGUGUGACUAUUUUUUUAAUUUUUUAUAAAUUAUUUAAAUAAAACGGAUGGUCGAAAGUUAGAAAAAAAUUCACGACU